GGCCCCACCCCUCCCGCCCAUCUCCCUCUGCACCGCCCUCCCGCCCAUUCCAGAGCAGUGGAGGCCCGCCCUUUUCAUCUACAGCCUAUCUCAGAGGACGUUGCCGUUCGCGCUGACCAAUAGGAGUGGUGGCCUUCACGGCAAGCCCCGCCCCGCGCCCUACGUCGGGUUCAGUGGCGUCCCUGGCCAGCCCCACGCUGAUCAUACGCCAUGUGGCACUGUGGCGCGCGGCGGGGCUGUGUGCGCUGAGGCUGCUGAGCAGUGGAGACAGGAUCUUGCUCUCUUGCCCAGGCUGGUUUUAAACUCCUGGGCUCAAGUGAUCCCCCUCCUCAGCCUCGCACACUGCUGGGCUUACAAGUGUAAGCCAUCUCAUCCAGGUAAGAAUAAUUAGAAAAUAAGUACGUUGGGCGCGGUGGCUCACACCGGUAACCGCAGCAUGUUGAGAGGCCAAGAUGGGCGGACCACUUGAGGUCAGGAGUUUAAGACCAGCCUGGCCAACAUGGAGAAACCCCAUCCCUACUAAAAAUACAAAAAUUAGCUGGGCGUGGUGGUGAGCACUUGUCGUCCCAGCCACUCAGGAGGCUGAGGCAGGAGAAUUGCUUGAACCCAGGAGGUGGAGGUUGCAGUGAGCCGAGAUUGCACCACUGCACUCUAGCCUGGGCAACAGAGCGAGACUCUUGUCUCCAAAAAAAAAAAAAAAAAAGUGUCCCCAUGACCAAACUGAAGAUUUCCCCUAACUGCUCAUAAUCCUCUCUCUCCCUCUGAGAUUACCACUGUUAGAUUACCAUAGAUUCUCCCUCUUAGAUUACCAUAGAGAAAUGUCCUUGCUUUUUAAAAAUAUUUUACCAUCUCUAUGCAUUCUGACAGUAUCUUGUUACCUGUUUGAAUAAUACCUGUUUAGGAUAAUACUGUAUCGUGUGUAUCUUUUGUUUAACAUUAUGUGACCCGCAUCUUUGUUACAUGCAUCUUUGUUACAGUUGUAGGCCCUUUUAUUGGUAAGUUUCUUUUUUUUUUAUUGAAUGAUUAGUCCGCAGUUUAUCCAGUCACUGUUACACCUCCAGGUGAGUUGAGUUUGGGACUGUCAGAGUUCGUGCUGACAAUCUUGUGAGUGCUGGGGCAGCAGUGUAAGGUGUGGAGGAUAUAGACCAAGAGGUGAACGGAUUUCCAGUAUUCAGAUUUUUUUUUUUUUUUCUUUUUUUGACGCCCAGGCUGGAGUGUAGUGGCGUGAUCUCGGCCCACUGCAACCUCCGCUUCCCAGGUUCAACGAUUCUCCUGCCUCAGCCUCCCAAGUAUCUGGGACUAUAGGCACCCGCCACCAUGCUUGGCUAAUUUUUGUAUUUUUAGUAGAGACUGGGUUUCACCAUAUUGGCCAGGCUGGUCUCGAACUCUUG
This 1391-nucleotide long non-coding RNA is filed under the name Piliocolobus tephrosceles (Ugandan red Colobus). RNAcentral's name for it is "lncRNA (ENSPTEG00000000246.1)". The record is from RNAcentral. Lineage: Eukaryota; Metazoa; Chordata; Mammalia; Primates; Cercopithecidae.